Girardinichthys multiradiatus is the source of this 1741-nucleotide long non-coding RNA. RefSeq lists it as uncharacterized. Lineage: Eukaryota; Metazoa; Chordata; Actinopteri; Cyprinodontiformes; Goodeidae. The record is from RefSeq and is a predicted model, not a curated record. The transcript is spliced from 4 exons.
GGUAAUCGAAGGGGGUCGCAGGGAAAUAUCAGAAAUUCUGUGGUUUGGGUCAGCCUGGGUGACCAGAACUGGGCUCCAAACAUCUUGAGAAGAAUAACAGCGGAGGAGCCUGGGCAGACGCCAUGAACCCUCCCUGCCAAGAGCUGAAACAAUAGCAAAGCUUUCCAAAGCCUCCCUGGCUUUAAACAAUGCCAUCAAUCACAGCCGACACACACACGUACGAGGAGCAGCUCUGCGCUCGCCUGUUAACUCUUUAUGAGGAUGAGGUUGGAGCGACCAUUACAGGACCAACAGUUUGGGAACAACGGACCUGAAAGUCAGAACUCUGGGUAAAAUCUCUGGUUCUGUCAGCAGCAGUCUCUCUCUGGACUUCAUCCAACAUCAGUUUUAAAGAGAUUCCUCGUAGCUCCAAGUCCUAGAGGACGUGUGAUAAAGUCCUGGAUGGGCUGAUGAUGAUAUAAUCUGGAAGCUACAGUUUUAAAGGCUGCAACACUUGCUGCAGGGACUGAGAGCAUGCUGGAUGCUCCUUCUCCAACAAACAGCAAUGAGAUGUUUAGGAAGAAGCUGGAGAGCAAGCUCCAGUAAAACAAUAUAAGAGAUGCCCACAGCCAGACACCCCACCCUCUUCUGACCCACAGCGUUCCUGUCACACCUCAGAUGUUUCAUCUUCCACCUCAGCCAUGGACCCUUCUGUUUGUCUCUAACUAUAUUAGGAGAUGCUGAUGCUCCUUUUGCCUCUCUCUUCCACCUGUGUCAGGUAAAACAGCAGCUGGAAAGACUAAACCAGAACAAGGUUGCAGGUUCAGAUGAUGUCAGCUCCAGGGUUCUGAAGGUCUGUGCAGAGCAGUUCUGUGGGAUUCUGCAGCACCUCUUCAACCGUAGUGGGACCCAAACGAAGGUUCCAAUGCUGUGGGAAACCUCCUGUCUUGUUCUGGUACCAAAGCUAACUCACCCAUCCGUCCUCAAUGACUAUAGACCUGUUGCCCUGACAUUCCACAUCAUGAAGGUCCUAAAAAGACUCCUAUUGGCCCACCUCAGUAAGCUAGCAAGCAACUAUCAGGACCCCCUUCAGUUUGCUUACCAACAUGUAGUUGAAGCAGAAGACACCAUCUUACACCUGCUUCAACCAACCCACUGUCUUCUGGUCAAAGCAGGCAGCAGUGGGAGGAUCCUGUUGUUCUGCAGAUCCGCCAUGAUACUGAGGAACAUCCUUCCUGCCCACAGCCACCAACAUCUGCAAUGACCUUUUCAGGAAACUUGCAUAAUAUGAGUUACAAACAUUUAAUUUCUCUCUGAGGUUAAUAAAGUAUUUUUGUGCUGAACUGAAUAUUCUCUGGGGACAUGGUCAUUGUUUACAGUCAGACCACUCAGAGCACUCUGAAUGAAACCAUAUGGACAAACUGCAGAAGGACAGAAGAACUUUGUAUGAGGAGCACCAAUGUGCUGCUCCUGAGCCCACAGAGAAGCUGUGAAGCAGAAGUUUCUUAUUGCUUCUCCAUAUUUAGGUGAGACUUCUUUCUCUGCACUGACUGAUCAAAACAAAGCAAAGAAACAGCCUGAAAAACAGCUUUAUUACAGCAGCUCCUUCACUGUCUCCAAGGAUGGCAGAGAACCCCAGAGAAGCACAGGUUACUGAAUGAAAUUAAUAAAAUGUCUUCUGUUCAAAAUAUUUCAAGAUUAUUUUAGGUAAACAUUUUUGAAAUAUUUUUUUUUAAUAAAGAAAUGCUGUUUUAAUUCCAAA